ACCUCUGUGCCCAGCUCAGCGGGGAGGGAGAGGUCAUAAGCAAGGGGUCCGCAGCAUUGGCUGGCUCGCACCUGCUGCAGUAGGCGUGAAAGGGUGACAUCGAAAGGGUCUGUGCUGUGAGUCGGGCCCCUGGAAGGGCAGCUGUGGGGAGAAUCCAUCGCUGGACCUUUAAGGGCCUAUCGCUGCUGGUGGAGUGUCCUGCUCGUUAACCUGGACUCCCCCUUCCUUUCAGUGAAGAGCAACUGAGGCAGCAGCGGCAGAGCUGGCCAGACUUGCGCAACCUUCACAUGCAGGAACAAACGAGCCAUUCCCAGGAAGGCUCUGGAAGGGUUUUGGCUGCGAGAAGGCAGAGCACAGAGCAUACGGAUGAGGUGAGACUGGGGUGGUGGUGGGGUAUGAAUUCCCUGCCCUUGGAAGGGAUUUCACUUACCUACCUACUGUAUUCUCCCUUGCCCCCAUUGACUUUAGGGCCAAAUCCUGCUCCCAUUAAAACAGAUG
Molecule: long non-coding RNA, 498 nt
Filed under: Chrysemys picta bellii (western painted turtle)
Lineage: Eukaryota; Metazoa; Chordata; Testudines; Emydidae
Description: lncRNA (ENSCPBG00000017858.1)
Source: RNAcentral